Molecule: ribosomal RNA, 278 nt
Filed under: uncultured bacterium
Lineage: Bacteria
Description: partial 16S ribosomal RNA
Rfam family: Bacterial small subunit ribosomal RNA
Source: RNAcentral
GCAGCCGCGGUAAUACGGGGGAUGCAAGCGUUAUCCGGAUUUAUUGGGUUUAAAGGGUGCGUAGGCGGUCUGUUAAGUCAGCGGUGAAAUUUAGGGGCUCAACCUCUACCGUGCCGUUGAUACUGGCAGUCUAGAAUGCGGAUGCCGUGGGAGGAAUGUGUGGUGUAGCGGUGAAAUGCAUAGAUAUCACACAGAACACCGAUUGCGAAGGCAUCUCACGAAUCCGCGAUUGACGCUGAGGCACGAAAGCGUGGGGAUCAAACAGGAUUAGAUACCCC